UUGCAGCGAGAACAUUAUGCUCUUUGUACUACACAGUUGAAUAGUGGAGAGCAGCAUAUACUGAGACUAUAUUUCCUCUGCCGAAUGAAGUCGAGUGGGAAGUUUCUGACCAUAUUCUCCUGUUCAAUAGUUUGUUGCCACCCGCAGUUGAACCGUGUGGUCCUGGACGUCCAAGUACAUCUAGAAUACCAUCUACCGGAGAGUUUCCUCGACCGCGUAGGUGCGGCAGGUGCAGAGUCAUAUGGCAUACUCGCCAAUUUUGUACUAGUCAAAUUCCCC
Molecule: long non-coding RNA, 279 nt
Filed under: Olea europaea (common olive)
Lineage: Eukaryota; Viridiplantae; Streptophyta; Magnoliopsida; Lamiales; Oleaceae
Description: long non-coding RNA (OEUR_LNC001944)
Source: RNAcentral